UACGUAGGAUGCAAGCGUUGUUCGGAGUUAUUGGGCGUAAAGCGCACGUAGGCGGCGCGGUAAGUGUGGUGUGAAAUCUGCGGGCUUAACCCGCAGCGGUCGCUGCAGACUGCCGUGCUUGAGGGCUGGAGAGGAAGAUAGAAUUCCCGGUGUAGUGGUGAAAUGCGUAGAUAUCAGGAGGAACACCGGUGGUGUAGGCGGCUUUCUGGACCAUAACUGACGCUGAGACACGAAAGCGUGGGUAGCAAACAGG
Molecule: ribosomal RNA, 253 nt
Filed under: uncultured bacterium
Lineage: Bacteria
Description: partial 16S ribosomal RNA
Rfam family: Bacterial small subunit ribosomal RNA
Source: RNAcentral